AUGUUGGGUUCCCGCCAGAGAUCUAUAUCGGAGAUUCUUCCCAACUUACAGAAGUACAUUUGUCAUCUUUAUAUCCGUCCAGAAUCAUCUCUUACGGUCGUGCCAAGCUUCCAUCUAUCGCUAGCAAUGUCGAGAGGCUUACCCUGUUGUCCUAUGAAUGUGAACACUCCAAUGCUUCCUGACAAGCUCCUCCACCUCAAGAGUUUGAAGAUUGUCCUUAACGGAUCAGGGCCCUGUUCCCCUGUCUAUGACACCUUUUCUCUGGCUUCUUUUCUUGAUGCUUCUCCUGCCUUGGAAUCUUUCAUCUUGCGUAUAGAACGAAAUGCCAUAAUACAUUAUUAUGAUGCUGGGGGCGAUGCAUACCCAAGGGGGAAACCGGCAUACCAGCAUGACCACCUCAAACGGGUGAUGAUCGCUGGCUUCCGUUCAGCCAAGAGCCUUAUUAAGCUUGUAAUCCACAUCCUUGAGAGCGCUCCUUCGCUGGAGUGUCUCACGCUGGAUACGACCCCUGGUGGCCAUGGUAGGAAGCUUGGUGAUACAAGCAUAUGCAGUGCUGCAAGAAUGUGGGGUAAAUGUUGUUAUAUGAGUGAGAGAGCUCUUGAAGAGGCUAACAGAGCUGUUGAGGCUGCGAGUAGAUACAUCAUUGGGAGAGUUCCAUCAACUGUUGAAUUUGAGGUCCUUGAGCCCUGUAGGCAAUGCCGUACUGGCAACCAGUAG
This 717-nucleotide ribosomal RNA is filed under the name Triticum aestivum (bread wheat). RNAcentral describes it as "partial small subunit ribosomal RNA". The record is from RNAcentral. Lineage: Eukaryota; Viridiplantae; Streptophyta; Magnoliopsida; Poales; Poaceae.